GAAAUGCGAUAAGUAAUGUGAAUUGCAGAAUUCAGUGAAUCAUCGAAUCUUUGAACGCACCUUGCGCUCCUUGGUAUUCCGAGGAGCAUGCCUGUUUGAGUGUCAUGGAAUUCUCAACUCUAUUUGCUUUUGUGAAUAGAGCUUGGAUUUGGAGGUUUAUUGCUGGUACUUGUGAUCGGCUCCUCUUGAAUGCAUUAGCUCGAACCUUUGCGGAUCAGCUAUCGGUGUGAUAAUUGUCUACGCCGUUGCAGUGAAGCAUAUCAAUGGGCUCGGCUUCCAAUCGUCCUUUAUUGGACAAUGACUUUGACCUUUGACCUCAAAUCAGGUAGGAUUACCCGCUGAACUUAAGC
Molecule: unclassified non-coding RNA, 350 nt
Filed under: plant metagenome
Description: partial contains 5.8S ribosomal RNA, internal transcribed spacer 2, and large subunit ribosomal RNA
Rfam family: 5.8S ribosomal RNA (bases 1-105)
Source: RNAcentral